CCGCGCUCCACUCUUGACCUUCGUCUCUCCUCAUCGUGCGGGGGAACCUCAACACCGCUGACGGUGCACACAUACAUACAAUGAAGCCUAUGCGUCUGUGUUGUCCCCUGUGGCGCGCCGCGCCCGCCCACCCCGCAGCGCAGCACACGGCACAGCGGAUGCGUAUCUUCACGGCGACGGCAAUAUUCACGUUCCUUCCAUCAAGCAGCGCAGCCGCGACCACCGGCUCGCUGUACCCCUCGCCGCUGCUUCAUCAACGGCGCGCUGUCGGACAGUCCUCCACCCUACCCGGAGCGUCGCUUUCUCUAUCAGAAAAAAGCAGCACGGCAGGCAGCAGCAGCCCUGUUGCACGCGAGAGCUCAGUCGGCAACCGGGAUGCCGCUAAAGAAGGCCCUCCAUCGCUGGAGCCCGUAAUAGUGGAGCUCGGAACCCUCGUCACACGCACGAUGCCAGUGGGGGAGCUGUUUCGUGCCCUGAGCCCCGCCUCCCGAAAGAUUCUCGUAGCGCAUCGUCUUCCCUUGGAGGAACUCCUCUUGCACUUCCCGAACCACUUCCUGGUGUGCCGCCUCGGCGAAAAGAGGACGUCGCAAUCUGCUACGCUGCAUGUGGCGCCUCCGUCCUGCGCCAAGAACAACAUGCACGUUAUGCGGCUUCCGCCUGGAACGAAGCCGUUGCCGGCGCUGGAGCAGUGGCUGGGGCCGCAGAAAGCCAUGGAGGUAGCCAUGCCGAAUUCGAGCAUCGUUGGCGGGUCGCCUUGCAUAGGCACAGGCAGCGGCUUCGUUGGCAAUACCACCACACUCAAGGAACGCUUGGAGGAGGUUCUGACUUACAUUCCCAAUGAGUGGGUGGCGUUCUCGAGUCUCAAUAUUUCGCGUGAUGUAAAGAUGCGGUGCAUGGGCUACCCUCUAGUCCGACCAUGCGCCUUCCUGCUCAAGUACCCACAGUUCUUCGACGUGCGCGUGCAGGACCGGAACGGCAACUCCUUCCUGGUCCGGCGGGCGCUGUCGCUGCAGCAGCAGUUGAACAGAACUCGGAAGCCGUGAGCCGAGCGCAGGCUAUGCAAACGCCCUCAUGCACAUGAUUGUCUGUCGAUCGAGGCUGCGCAGCUGACCGCAAUUGGUGAUGCGCGCCCUUCACCGCCUUUCUGUUCACGUGCGCGUAAGUGUGUGUGUGUGUGUGUGUGUGUGUGUGUGUGUGUGUGUGUGUGUUUCGCUUAACAACGUCAUACAUUGCCCCAUCAGCAGUACACAUACCAGUCAUCCUUAGCCGUGGCACCUACACACAGCAUCCCACCACCACCACCAUCAUCCUAUCUCAUCCUCUACACGCUUCAGGCGGCGGAAGGGGGGGGGGGGCAAUCGAUGGGCCACUGUAUACGUUUUUGAUGCACUUGAGUAGGAUCAUGUGUGAAAACGAGGAGCUGGUCGUCUUGUUCUAUUCAGCAUAUCGAUAUCCCUGCCUUAGAGCGUGAGCUCAGCGCCACUCGACCCUCCACACGGCCUGCUAUCGGGGGGGGGGGGGGCACAUCGCGUGGUGUGAAGCAGUGCUAGACACACGCUGGCGCUUCGCCCAUCAGGUGGCUGGUACAGGCGUGUUCGCAGUAGCGGGUCGAUCCGACGCAACGCCAUCCGGGCCCUGACCGCCGACACCCGUAGCAGUAAACCGCCCUGACCUCCCCACGUCGUAAGCGCUUGACUCUGUCACCACCAACAGUAGCUCGGCAUUCAGCAGGAACAGGAGGAGGGGGGCUGCUUGGCCCUCCGCACAGAUAGAGAGAUGGGGGUGGGGGCGCCCGGGGCCCUGAGAUACGACGCACUGAGAGGGGCGUGUGCCCGCCACACCUGUCAUCCGGGGAUGACGGAGUGGGCGUAAAAAUACAUGCACGCACAUAUAUCGGGUGAGAUGGAGUGGUAUUGUGUGUAUGUGUGCCGAUAACGAUACCGUCUUGUGGUCUCGCGGAGACCUCCUCACUGCGACCGCUCUGCCAUCCUUGCAUCUGUCUGCCCGCCCCGUCCGCAUCUGUCUGUCGGUCGGUCUCUCUGUCUCGCUCGCCACACGCUUACACACAAAUUGUGCGCAAUCCACGCCCACCCGUACAG
This 2099-nucleotide unclassified non-coding RNA is filed under the name Leishmania donovani. RNAcentral describes it as "gene:LdHU3.25.2250(CDS-product:hypothetical_prote in_conserved)". The record is from RNAcentral. Lineage: Eukaryota; Euglenozoa; Kinetoplastea; Trypanosomatida; Trypanosomatidae.